UUAAAUAAGAGGGUUGAGAUAUAUUGAAAAAAAUUCAACUUCCUCCCUUUUUUGCAAAGAACACAGUGAGACUGCCUGAAGGAAAUGUAGGUCAAGACUUUAACAUGCAGAGUACCUACAGUCUUAUGUAUUCAAAAACUUGAUUUCUCCUCUGUGCAUAUGAAGAAAACCACUCAGAAGACUGACGUGAGGCUCUGGAGAGUGGCUGCCCCAGAGCAACCAUCCAUGAGAGCAACCAUCCAUGACACUGGUUUAGGCUUCCGUCAACCCUAUGAGGACUUGGGUUUCUUAGGAUGUGAAGAGUCCAUGGAUCCUCACAUGGAAUACCAUCUAGCAAACAAGCCAAAUUCCUUACCAAGACUGAGGACUUCUCAUAGCACACAUUUGACACAUUAGG
Molecule: long non-coding RNA, 397 nt
Organism: Acinonyx jubatus (cheetah)
Lineage: Eukaryota; Metazoa; Chordata; Mammalia; Carnivora; Felidae
Exons: 2
Source: RefSeq, a predicted model, not a curated record